GCGGAGGGAUCAUUACAAGUUGACCCCGGCCCUCGGGCCGGGAUGUUCACAACCCUUUGUUGUCCGGCUCUGUUGCCUCCGGGGCGACCCUGCCUCCGGGCGGGGGCCCCGGGUGGACAUUUCAAACUCUUGCGUAACUUUGCAGUCUGAGUAAAUUUAAUUAAUAAAUUAAAACUUUCAACAACGGAUCUCUUGGUUCUGGCA
This 204-nucleotide unclassified non-coding RNA is filed under the name uncultured fungus. Its description in RNAcentral is "partial contains 18S rRNA, ITS1, 5.8S rRNA". The record is from RNAcentral. Lineage: Eukaryota; Fungi.